This is a long non-coding RNA of Candoia aspera, 1069 nucleotides long. RefSeq lists it as uncharacterized. The transcript is spliced from 3 exons. The record is from RefSeq and is a predicted model, not a curated record. Lineage: Eukaryota; Metazoa; Chordata; Lepidosauria; Squamata; Candoiidae.
CCAGUGGGUUGUAACAAGUCCUGCCCUGUCCUGUUCAGGCUUGGGCUCCCAAGAAGAUAGAAGCUGUUUUACUUGGUUAUCCUCAUUUCUGGCCAGGAAAGCUCACUGAGGGCUGAGUACUAUGAAAAGUAUUGUAUUUAGAGUUAAAGGAAGGUAACUAUUUUUUUUUCCUACUGAGGACUGUCUAUUUGAGGGGUAAUAUUUGGGGCCACAUGUCAAUGAAAAGUGUUAAUGAAUCAAAUCAUGGGUAAACAACACGCACUGAUGAAACAUACCUUACGAUUUCCAUCUUGCCUCCCACAAUCUUGAUACCGCAUUUUCCUGUUGAGCUGCAAAACACUUUUUUCAGAAUGACUUAAAUUAGAAACAUGGGCCAACUGAAAGGAAGUGAAAUGAAAGACAAGAAAAUGCUAUAAAUUGCAAUCGAGACUCACCAGGCAAUUGGGGCCCACUUUGAAAUCCUACCACCUUGACUGAGUCAGUGAAAAGAGAGGUCAUCUCUGUGCUUCUCUACCCGGUAUGACAACAGGACUCUAGAGCACCACUUUGAUGUGAUUUAUAGCUUCUUCUCAUCAUUCUUGCAAAAUUGGCUGCCAAGUUUUUCUACUAUUUUUCUGAACAGAAUAUACACGUGAAUUCCAUUAUUUUGGGAAGUUACUAUCAGAUGAGGAAGCCAAAGGGUGAUGUUGGACUUGAGCUUGGACUGAUGCAAGUGAAGUGAACUGAACCAGCUUGAAGAUUUUAAGAUCAAAGCCUGUGCAAGUGCAGAGAUGUUGUCUUCAAAAGUCAGCACUCACAGCUGGGGAAAGGACUAGCCAGACCAUAAUGGUCUGUUGUCAGCCUAAUAAAAAUACAACAGAGGGUUGGGAAAGAUCCCUGCACAUUUCUCAGUUGUCUGGGAAACAACAGGCAGUCUGUCAGCACAGAGAAGGGGUGGUAGAAAGAAAUGAAGAAGACUGUACCCUAAUGAGCUGAGAGAUAAACUGGAUUCUAAAUUGAAGUGAUCCAGUUGUUGAAAUUUCUGUACUAGUACUCCUUACCCUGUCAAUAAAUCUGGUUUUAAAAAGGG